This 489-nucleotide small RNA is filed under the name Pongo abelii (Sumatran orangutan). RNAcentral's name for it is "processed transcript". Lineage: Eukaryota; Metazoa; Chordata; Mammalia; Primates; Hominidae. The record is from RNAcentral.
AUUUCAGACUCUGACUUCAGGCCACCCCUCAGCUCUGCUCUCCUCUAUGACUGGUUCCCAGGCCAGAGCCUUGUGGUUCAGCUGUUCAGAUCUUCCUCAUUUCUCUCAGAGUCAGCCUGUUCCUUCUGAAGGGUUUGGAGCUCAGCUGCAUGGAAGGCAGCUGCACGUGUUCGUUCCCAACCAGUGAGCUGGAGAAGGUGCUCCCCCAGACCAUCCUGUAUAAGUACUAUGAGCGAAAAGCCGAGGAGGAGGUUGCGGCAGCCUACGCCGACGAGCUUGUCAGGUGCCCGUCCUGUAGCUUUCCGGCCCUGUUGGACAGUGAUGUGAAGAGGUUCAGCUGUCCUAAUCCUCACUGCCGAAAGGAAACCUGUAGGAAGUGUCAGGGACUCUGGAAAGAACAUAAUGGCCUCACCUGUGAAGAGCUGGCUGAAAAAGAUGACAUCAAGUACCGUACCUCUAUUGAAGAAAAAAUGACUGCUGCCCGCAUUA